Pyrus x bretschneideri (Chinese white pear) is the source of this 1618-nucleotide long non-coding RNA. RefSeq lists it as uncharacterized. The record is from RefSeq and is a predicted model, not a curated record. The transcript has 2 exons. Lineage: Eukaryota; Viridiplantae; Streptophyta; Magnoliopsida; Rosales; Rosaceae.
AAUAGAUUAAAGAAGAUCGAUGAAAAGAAAUUAACAAGAGUGUGUGAAUAGCACUAGGCAUUUGAUGGUUUGAAGAAAUUCAACCUCCCUAAAUGUUGCUUGCAUUUUUUUGUUUUUUGUUUUUUGUUUUGGGUCAACUUUUGCAAAUUUACUAAGUUACUUUGGUCACGACGAAACCACCAAAUAAUCUCAUUUCUCAAUUUUCGACAUCAGGCCGAAUGGAAUAAAGAAGAUCGAUGAAAAGAAAUUAACAAGAGUGUGUGAAUAGCACUAGGCAUCUGAUGGUUUGAAGAAAUUCAACCUCCCUAAAUGUUGCUUGCAUUUUUUUUUGUUUUUUUUUUGGGUCAACUUUUGCAUAUUUACAAAAUUACUUUGGUCACGACAAAACCACCUAAUAAUUUCUUUGGAGACCUUUUUAAGUAUAUCCAAAAUACUUUUUUAAAUGGUGUAUUAAUUUUUUUUUAAAAUAUUGUAUUAAUUCACGUGUUAUGAUAUAAGCAGGGACAUACAAUUUUAUGACAUAUUAGUAAAAAAAUAAAUAUAUUAAAUGGUGUAUUAAUUUCUUUUAAAAAUAUUGUAUUAAUCCACGUCUUAUAAUAUAAGUAGAGACAUACAAUUUUAUAACAUAUUAGUAAAAAAAUAAAUAUAUAACUAAUUUCAAAGUGCAGAACUUUAAAAUGUCACUGUAAAUUUCUAACAUAUUUUAAAAUGUAGCUUAUUAAGAUUCAUCCGCCCACUAAAAUUCGUGUCGUGCCGUGUUGGACUGGUUUUAAAUUGGCCAUAUUCGGGCCUACCCAAUAAACCAAUUUGGGACCCCACAGAAAAAACAAAAACUAUAGUGGAGCAACCGCUGAAGUUCAUGGAAUCCUGGGGUAAGUUUGUGAUUAACCCUUUUUCGACCCACUUUUCUGAAAAACAGAAAAGUUUUACUUUAGAAUUUUGAAUCAAUCGAGGAAGUGGAAUAAAAUAUUUGGGGUAGAUUUUAACCAAAAAAAUAUAUGUGGGGUAAAUUUUAAAUUACUGUUGAAUUGACAAUUGAAGUUCGUCCGUGCGCGCUUGGUUGUUGGGCACAUGAUCAGUCCUGCUCCAAUCAACUCGACGGCGGUCGGCGGAGGAUCCAUAGACUCUAUUCCCCUAAGCCAAAAGAUUCAGGCUUCAGCAGCUGAGAACCCAACGGAAACUCAGACCCACCCGCGCAACCGCCCGACCCGACCCAAACCGGGUUCUAUCUAAGAUUCAGAGAUCCACCGCCGAGAAGCAACAACCGCCGACCCAUCAGACCCAUCACGCCUCCUCCUCCUCCGGCUUUCUCCACUGGGAAAUUGGCGAAAACGAUCAGAAAUCGUCAAAUCCCAAUUGCUGAAUCGAUCAAAAUUAAAUAUCGACGAGAUAUGGACGGAAUAUGGAUGACAUAGCGAUGAGAAUAGGAAGACAUACCCAAAAACUGAUCAUUUCAGCAAUUAGGAGUUAAGCGGUAGAAACUAAUCCAAAUCCAAACUAUAGUGUAAAGUAGAUUUGGUUUGGUUUUUUGGGAUGCUUAAUUUCAAUUCUGCACCAAAAGUUUAAAUUUUGCAUCCAUUAUUCAAUACUAGCUCAAUAAUCAUAAUGUCUCCCUACA